Long non-coding RNA from Passer domesticus (house sparrow), 511 nucleotides. RefSeq lists it as uncharacterized. Lineage: Eukaryota; Metazoa; Chordata; Aves; Passeriformes; Passeridae. The transcript is spliced from 3 exons. The record is from RefSeq and is a predicted model, not a curated record.
AGGACAUGACUCUCAUCCAGGAUCUGCGUGAGGAGGUUGACAAGAUAAAGACAACACAGCUCCUCAUGGAAGGAGACAUAAAGAAGCUUAAGGAGUCUCUUGCCUUAAUGAAGAAGCUGGAGGAAGACCUUAAAAAGCUGAGGGAGGAUAUAGCCAAGUGGAAAGAAGAGAGCAGUAAGGAGAUCUCUCAACAAAUUGAGGCUUUGCGGCAGGAGACAAGGCGUGAGCUGCAGAAGAUGGGAGAGCAGCAGGAGAGGAGGAAUGCCAUGCUGGAGCAGAUGCUGAAUGAGACAGCCGACCAGCUGAAUGAGCAGGUGAGGUCCUGGGGGAGCACUCCCACCACUCCUGGCACGGUCCUGUUGCAGCUCCAUGCCACAUCUUCCUGCUCUGUUGUGCUUUGCUGUAAUCUUAUGGGAGAGCCAAACUGCCCAAAUUGGCCUGGACCAGUCAGUGGCAUGGACAGUAAUUAAAGCCUUGACGCAAAUGUCCUCUUGACAUGGUGGGCUCAUGG